UGCAGUUGACGCUUGAAUUUCCCGAAGCUUGCUUCACCGAAAUUCAAGAGUAGCGAACGGGUGAGUAACGCGUGGAUAACCUGCCUUAUAGCGGGGGAUAACUAUUGGAAACGAUAGCUAAUACCGCAUAACAAUGACUGACACAUGUUAGUUAUUUGAAAGUACCAAUUGGUACACUAUGAGAUGGAUCCGCGUUGUAUUAGCUAGUUGGUAGUGUAACGGACUACCAAGGCGAUGAUACAUAGCCGACCUGAGAGGGUGAUCGGCCACACUGGGACUGAGACACGGCCCAGACUCCUACGGGAGGCAGCAGUAGGGAAUCUUCGGCAAUGGACGAAAGUCUGACCGAGCAACGCCGCGUGAGUGAAGAAGGUUUUCGGAUCGUAAAACUCUGUUGUUAGAGAAGAACGUUGAUUAGAGUGGAAAAUUAAUCAAGUGACGGUAUCUAACCAGAAAGGGACGGCUAACUACGUGCCAGCAGCCGCGGUAAUACGUAGGUCCCGAGCGUUGUCCGGAUUUAUUGGGCGUAAAGCGAGCGCAGGUGGUUUCUUAAGUCAGAUGUAAAAGGCAGUUGCUCAACGAUUGUAUGCAUUUGAAACUGGGAGACUUGAGUGCAGU
This 618-nucleotide ribosomal RNA is filed under the name Streptococcaceae bacterium RF213. RNAcentral describes it as "bacterial SSU rRNA". It matches the Rfam family "Bacterial small subunit ribosomal RNA", at positions 56 to 652 of the family's 1533-position model. The record is from RNAcentral. Lineage: Bacteria; Bacillati; Bacillota; Bacilli; Lactobacillales; Streptococcaceae.